RNAcentral lists this long non-coding RNA (2398 nucleotides) under Ananas comosus (pineapple). Its description in RNAcentral is "long non-coding RNA (ACOM_LNC038991)". Lineage: Eukaryota; Viridiplantae; Streptophyta; Magnoliopsida; Poales; Bromeliaceae. The record is from RNAcentral.
GUUCUAUUUUGCCCCGAGAGAGUAAAUUUGGAACGCAUCGAUAUCAACAUUCACAAGAACCAAAACCGGAACAACAUUAGACUACUCAGUUACACCUUAACAGUAUAACUUUGCAAUGUAUACUUUUUCGCAUUCUAUUGAACAAAGAGUAAAACCUAAUUAUAUUGUUCUAUUUUGCCCCGACAGAGUAAAUUUGGAACAAAGCGUUGUCAACGUUCACAAGAACCAAAUCCGGAACAACAAUAGACUGCUCAGUUGCGCCCUAACCGUAUAACUUUGCAACGAGUACUUUUUCUCAUUCAAUCCAACAAUGUGUAGAAUCUAAUUAUAUUGGUCUAUUAUGCCCCGAGAGCGUAAAUUUCGAACGAAUCAUUGUCAACGUUCACAAGAACCAAAACUGGACCAACAUUAGACUACUCAGUUACACCCUAACAGUAUAACUUUACAACGAGUACUUUUUCUCAUUCUAACGAACAAAGAGUAAAACCUAAUUAUAUUGUUCUAUUAUGCCCCGAGAGUGCAAAUUUGGAACGAAUCGAUGUCAACCUUCACAAGAAGUAAAACCGGAACAACAAUAGACUGCUCAGCUGCACCCUAACAGUAUAACUUUGCAACGAGUACUUUUUCUCAUUCAAUGGAACAAAGUGUAAGAGCUAAUUAUAUAAUUGUAUUAAGCCCCGAGAGUGUAAAUUUGGAACGAAUCGAUGUCAGCUAUCACAAGAACCAAAUCCGGAAUAAUAAUAGACUACUCAGUUGCGCCCUAACAGUAUAACUCUGCAACGAGUACUUUCUCUCAUUCAAUCCAAAAAAGUGUGAAAGCUAAUUAUCUUCUUCUAUUAUGCCCCAAGAGCGUAAAUAUCGAACGAAUCAUUGUCAACGUUCACUAGAACCAAAACCGGAACAACAUUAGACUACUCAGUUGCGCCCUAACAGUAUAACUUUGCAACGAGUGCUUUUUCGCAUUCUAUCGAACAAAGAGUAAAACCUAAUUAUAUUGUUCUAUUAUGCCCCGAGAGUGUAAAUUUGGAACGAAUCGAGUCAACCUUCAGAAGAAGCAAACCGAAACAAUAAUAGACUGCUCAGUUGUGCCCUCACAGUAUACCUUUGGAACGAGUACUUUUUCUCAUUCAAUCGAACAAAGUGUAAAAGCUAAUUAUAUUAUUCUAUCAUUCCCCGAGAGUGUAAAUUUGGAACGAAUCGAUGUCAACCUUCACAAGAACCAAAAUCGAAACAACAAUAAACUACUUAGUUGCGCCCUAACAGUAUAACUUUGCAACGAGUACUUUUCUACAUUCUAUCGAACAAAGAGUAAAAACCAAAUAAUAUUAUUCUAUUAGUCCCCGAGAGUGUAAAUUUGGAACGAAUCGAUGUCAACCUUCGCAAGAACGAAAACCGAAACAACAAUAGACUACUCAGUUGCGCCCUAACAGUAUAACUUUGCAACGAGUACUUUUUCGCAUUCUAUCGAACAAAUAGUAAAACCUAAUUAUAUUGUUCUAUUAUGCCCCGAGAGUAUAAAUUUGGAACGAAUCGAUAUCAACCUUCAUCAGAAGCAAAACCGAAACAACAAUAGACUGCUCAGUUGCGCCCUAACAGUAUCACUUUACAACGAGUACUUUUUCUUAUUCAAUCGAACAAAGUGUAAAUGCUAAUUAUAUUAUUCUAUUAUGCCCCGAGAGUGUAAAUUUGGAACGAAUCGAUGUCAACCUUCACAAGAAGCAAAACCGGAACAAUAAUAGACUUCUCAGUUGCGCCAUAACAGUAUAACUUUAGAACGAGUACUUUUUCUCAUUCAAUCGAACAAACUGUAAAAGCCAAUUAUAUUAUUCUAUCAAUCCCCGAGAGUGUAAAUUUGGAACGAAUCGAUGUCAACCUCCACAAAAACCAAAGCCGAAACAACAAUAGACUACUCAGUAGCGCCCUAACAAUAUAACUUUGCAACGAGUACUUUUUCGCAUUCUAUUGAACAAAGAGCAAAACCUAAUAAUAUUAUUCUAUUAUGCCCCGAGAGUGUAAAUUUGGAAUGAAUCGAUGUCAACCUUCACAAGAACCAAAACCGGAACAACAAUAGACUACUCAGUUGCGCCCUAACAGUAUAACUUUGCAACAAGUAAUAUUUCUUUUUCAAUCGAACAAAGUGUAAAAGCUAAUUACAUUAUUCUAUUAUGCCCUGAGAGUGUAAGUUUGGAACGAAUCGAUGUCAACCUUCACAAGAACCAAAUUCGUAACAACAAUAGACUACUUUGUUGCGCCCUAACAAUAUAAAUUUGCAACGAGUGCUUUUUCUCGUUCUAUCGAACAAAGAUUAAAACCUAAUUAUGUUGUUCUAUUUUGCCCCGAGAGAAUAAAUUUUGAACGCAACGAUGUCAACAUUCACAAGAACGAAAACCAGAACAAC